This 498-nucleotide long non-coding RNA is filed under the name Malus domestica (apple). RNAcentral describes it as "long non-coding RNA (MDOM_LNC006081)". The record is from RNAcentral. Lineage: Eukaryota; Viridiplantae; Streptophyta; Magnoliopsida; Rosales; Rosaceae.
CUAGUCUCAAGUCAUUUGGUGUUGGACACUAAGACAAACACAUAGGUGCUCGAAAGAGUAAUCGAGUACAUUGAACAACGAUCAAAAAAGAGUUCGAACAUACAUGUCAUGUAAGAACUCGAAAGUUGCAAUAUGCAAAGUAGUCCUUUGACCUGAUGCAUCAUAGAUGUCUAAUGGUUAGGUCCUUGAUCUUUGAUCAUGUCAACGGCAUUCCAUCGGAGUGUCCACGGCAUUGUUGGGGUCAAGCUAUCUAGUCGUGUAGGCAUAUGAAUGCACAACAAGGGAUCUCUAACCUUCCAUGGUGGAAGGAGAAUACUCUAAGAUAUGAUUCUAAAGUCUUUGGCCAAAGCAUAUGAAUAUGACUUAGGAAGAAUGUUCCAAAUCAUAUUCAAGGGAAUCAUAUAGAUAAGUAUCACAUUGGAUAGUACACAUGAAACAAACUAUCACUUAAACAAUGUGAUUAAGAGUAUUGUAUUAGAGAAGGACCGUAUUGCAUUG